RNAcentral lists this ribosomal RNA (260 nucleotides) under uncultured bacterium. RNAcentral's name for it is "partial 16S ribosomal RNA". It matches the Rfam family "Bacterial small subunit ribosomal RNA", at positions 1120 to 1379 of the family's 1533-position model. The record is from RNAcentral.
AGCACGUCAUGGUGGGCACUCUAAGGAGACUGCCGGUGACAAACCGGAGGAAGGUGGGGAUGACGUCAAGUCAUCAUGGCCCUUACGGCCUGGGCUACACACGUGCUACAAUGGUCGGUACAAAGGGUUGCCAAGCCGCGAGGUGGAGCUAAUCCCAUAAAACCGAUCGUAGUCCGGAUCGCAGUCUGCAACUCGACUGCGUGAAGUCGGAAUCGCUAGUAAUCGUGAAUCAGAAUGUCACGGUGAAUACGUUCCCGGGC